UCAUCAAGAGCUAUAUUAAAUAUAGAUUAAACAAAAAAUAAAACUAAUUAAGUCAUUGUCUUCCAAGGAGGAAUAUCGUUAUCUCUUGUUGCAGAGUUAUGUAUGAGUAUGAAAAUGCUAGUGAAGCCAAAAGCUAAUGCAAGUGAAAGGUUGACACUGUUAGUCCUUUUUUGGUUGACGCGUUGGAGGGAAUUGACUCUUGUAUCUUCUUGGAAAAGAAUCAAAAACAUUUAUUCAUUACAACUUUUACUAGAAUCUUUUUUUGUUUUUUAUAUCAAUUCAUAAUGUUUCUUGUUAAUAUAAGGACGAAAAAACACAAAUCAAUGUGUCGUGGUAGAGUUGUGUUUACCAAAUCAAAGACAUUUUAUAAUGUUGGGACUUAAAACUUUUUUAUCUUAGAUUUUUCUCAUUUGUUACAUAAUGCAAAAGAAUCUUUUAUCUUUCUCUUUCUAUCCCCCAA
This 460-nucleotide long non-coding RNA is filed under the name Solanum tuberosum (potato). RNAcentral's name for it is "long non-coding RNA (STUB_LNC008627)". Lineage: Eukaryota; Viridiplantae; Streptophyta; Magnoliopsida; Solanales; Solanaceae. The record is from RNAcentral.